CUAUGCGCCUUGCCAGCCCGCUCAGGUGUGCCAGCAGCCGCGGUAAUACGUAGGGGGCAAGCGUUAUCCGGAUUUACUGGGUGUAAAGGGAGCGUAGACGGCGGCGCAAGUCUGGAGUGAAAGCCCGGGGCCCAACCCCGGGACUGCUCUGGAAACUGCGGCGCUCGAGUGCCGGAGGGGCAGGCGGAAUUCCUAGUGUAGCGGUGAAAUGCGUAGAUAUUAGGAGGAACACCAGUGGCGAAGGCGGCCUGCUGGACGGCGACUGACGUUGAGGCUCGAAAGCGUGGGGAGCAAACAGG
Molecule: ribosomal RNA, 299 nt
Filed under: uncultured bacterium
Lineage: Bacteria
Description: partial 16S ribosomal RNA
Rfam family: Bacterial small subunit ribosomal RNA
Source: RNAcentral